AGUCUAAAGGCCCUGUUUUGUGUAUGGAAGUGCUUUCAUUUCUUUGGCCAGGUUCAAGUUUCUGUAAUUUGUUGGGUCCAAUUGUGAACUCUGUUCUAUUUCAUUUAUUUGUGUGUAUUCAUAUAUGUAUUUAUUUUAUUAAUCAGGAGAAAGAAGUGUAAUUUAUAGUGUGGCUUGACAUUUAAAUCAGAAGUUUCAUCUAAACACACCUGCCCAAUAGAAGGGUGAAUGACCUGUGGAAACCUCUGGACCCAGGAGUCUGGGCUGCAACUUUGGGAUGACUUGGAGCCCAGUCCACCAGGAGGAAAAUGCUUCCCGUGCGGGGUCCUGACACCUGCAGAGGGGGCUUUGCCAUGAUUUCUUCUGGAUGUUUCUAUAAGGAGAUUGUUUCUGUAGAGAAAUCCCAAUUCAGCAUCAUAUUCACAGUCAUAAAAUUCAUAUCAAGAAAUGGGACCAGCCAGUCUUCCCUGCAACCUGAGGCAAAGAGAAAAAAAGUCACACCCUAAUAAGUCCCUUCACUCACCUGCAUUGUUACUUUUCCAACAUUAAAGUAAUUGAGAUCCACUGAAAAGUGGAAGUUUAAGUACAUUAAAAUUCAGAAUAUUAUUUUGAGUUCUAUUUUAUUGAUGCCAAACCAGAAUUUAGUACUCUUUAAUGUUCCUAGCUUUCGAAAAGCUAACUUAUCGAUAUGUUAAUAUCCCCUGUAGCUUGUCAUUUUUAAAUGGGAUUAUCAU
Molecule: long non-coding RNA, 734 nt
Organism: Manis pentadactyla (Chinese pangolin)
Lineage: Eukaryota; Metazoa; Chordata; Mammalia; Pholidota; Manidae
Exons: 3
Source: RefSeq, a predicted model, not a curated record